UACGUAGGGUCCGAGCGUUGUCCGGAGUUACUGGGCGUAAAGCGCGCGCAGGCGGCGGCGCUGGCCUGGCGUGAAAGCCCCCGGCUCAACCGGGGAAUGGCGUCGGGGACCGCGCCGCUUGAGGACGGCAGGGGCUGGUGGAAUGCCUGGUGUAGUGGUGAAAUGCGUAGAGAUCAGGCGGAACACCCGUGGCGAAGGCGGCCAGCUGGGCCGGAUCUGACGCUGGGGCGCGAAGGCGUGGGGAGCGAACGGG
This 253-nucleotide ribosomal RNA is filed under the name uncultured bacterium. RNAcentral's name for it is "partial 16S ribosomal RNA". It matches the Rfam family "Bacterial small subunit ribosomal RNA", at positions 524 to 776 of the family's 1533-position model. The record is from RNAcentral.